Molecule: transfer RNA, 84 nt
Filed under: Lachnospiraceae bacterium
Lineage: Bacteria; Bacillati; Bacillota; Clostridia; Lachnospirales; Lachnospiraceae
Also listed under: 1 other name
Description: tRNA-Leu
Rfam family: tRNA
About the family: Transfer RNA (tRNA) molecules are approximately 80 nucleotides in length.
Source: RNAcentral
GCGGAGUUGCUGGAAUUGGCAGACAGGCAUGAUUCAGGUUCAUGUGUUCGUACGAACGUGAGAGUUCAAGUCUCUUACUCCGCA